Molecule: long non-coding RNA, 344 nt
Organism: Empidonax traillii (willow flycatcher)
Lineage: Eukaryota; Metazoa; Chordata; Aves; Passeriformes; Tyrannidae
Exons: 3
Source: RefSeq, a predicted model, not a curated record
GGUCACACAGGGCCAUCUACACCUACUGCUCCCAGAUCUGCGACCCCCGGAUCACGGGCAGUUUCUGGCAGACGUGGAAGGAGUUUGAGAUCCGGCACGGCAACGAGGACACGAUCCGGGAGAUGCUGCGGAUCAAGCGCAGCGUCCAGGCCACCUACAACACGCAGGUCAACUUCAUGGCCUCGCAGAUGCUCAAGGCGUCCGGCAGCGCCACCGGCACCGUGUCAGACCUGGCCCCGGGGCAGAGCGGGUUGGAUGACAUGAAGCUGCUGGAGCAGCGGGCGGAGGCUCUGGCGGCCGAGGCGCAGCGGGACACGCCCCGGCCCCCCCAGCAGGUGCUGUUC